GAUGAACGCUGGCGGCGUGCCUAAUACAUGCAAGUCGAGCGAACAGAUAAGGAGCUUGCUCCUUUGACGUUAGCGGCGGACGGGUGAGUAACACGUGGAUAACCUACCUAUAAGACUGGGAUAACUUCGGGAAACCGGAGCUAAUACCGGAUAACAUAUUGAACCGCAUGGUUCAAUAGUGAAAGGCGGCUUUGCUGUCACUUAUGGAUGGAUCCGCGCCGUAUUAGCUAGUUGGUAAGGUAACGGCUUACCAAGGCAACGAUACGUAGCCGACCUGAGAGGGUGAUCGGCCACACUGGAACUGGGACACGGUCCAGACUCCUACGGGAGGCAGCAGUAGGGAAUCUUCCGCAAUGGGCGAAAGCCUGACGGAGCAACGCCGCGUGAGUGAUGAAGGUCUUCGGAUCGUAAAACUCUGUUAUCAGGGAAGAACAAAUGUGUAAGUAACUGUGCACAUCUUGACGGUACCUGAUCAGAAAGCCACGGCUAACUACGUG
This 497-nucleotide ribosomal RNA is filed under the name uncultured bacterium. RNAcentral's name for it is "partial 16S ribosomal RNA". It matches the Rfam family "Bacterial small subunit ribosomal RNA", at positions 28 to 507 of the family's 1533-position model. The record is from RNAcentral.